UGAUUCAAGGGGGAGAUGAAGGUACGCGUCUUAGUAAACAAAGGUGAAAUUUAGAUUUCAGUAAGACUACUCCACUUAUUCUCUGUAAUCUUUGAGAUAAAUGAGGAUUAGAUACCCUUCUAUACUCUGAGGAACAUACCUAAGGUAGUAGUUGUUAUAAGCUUGAAACCUAAAGGACUUGGCGGCGGUCAAUAAGAUCAGAGGAACCUGUCCUGUAAUUGAUACUCCACACUAUAUCUUACCUCGUAAAUGCUCGUAUACCGUCGCCUAAAGUUUCCUUAGAGGGAAAGUUGGUUAGAGGUAGUUACAAGCAAGGCAGAUCAAGGUGCGGCCUUACAAGGCUGAGAUGGGUUACAAUUAAUCCAACAUUGGAUUGCCCGGUGAAAUACGACUGAAAUUGGAUUUGAAAGUAAUCAAAGUUUAUAUAUGCUUCGAUGAGUCUUUU
Molecule: ribosomal RNA, 445 nt
Filed under: Platyarthrus hoffmannseggii
Lineage: Eukaryota; Metazoa; Arthropoda; Malacostraca; Isopoda; Platyarthridae
Description: partial 12S ribosomal RNA
Source: RNAcentral